AACGCACAUUGCGCCCGCCGGCACUCCGGCGGGCAUGCCUGUCCGAGCGUCAUUUCAACCCUCAGGCCCACCCUUCCGGGGGAGCGGGCCUGGUGCUGGGGAUCGGCGGCCCUCGCGGCCCCCGUCCCUCAAAUUCAGUGGCGGUCGCGCCGCAGCCUCCCCUGCGUAGUAGCACAACCUCGCACCGGAGAGCGGAACGACCACGCCGUGAAACCCCCAAUUUUUCAAGGUUGACCUCGGAUCAGGUAGGAAUACCCGCUGAACUUAA
This 268-nucleotide unclassified non-coding RNA is filed under the name uncultured fungus. Its description in RNAcentral is "partial contains 5.8S ribosomal RNA, internal transcribed spacer 2, and large subunit ribosomal RNA". The record is from RNAcentral. Lineage: Eukaryota; Fungi.